GACGAACCGUCCAAACGUUGUUCGGAAUCACUGGGCUUGAAGGGCGCGUAGGCGGACUGCCAAGUCCGGGGUGAAAUCUUUCGGCUUAACCGGAAAAGGGCCUUGGAAACUGGCGGUCUCGAGGGAGGUAGGGGCCUGUGGAACUUCGGGUGGAGCGGUGAAAUGCGUUGAUAUCCGAAGGAACGCCGGUGGCGAAAGCGACGGGCUGGAUCUCUUCUGACGCUGAGGCGCGAAAGCCAGGGGAGCAAACGGG
This 253-nucleotide ribosomal RNA is filed under the name uncultured bacterium. RNAcentral describes it as "partial 16S ribosomal RNA". It matches the Rfam family "Bacterial small subunit ribosomal RNA", at positions 524 to 776 of the family's 1533-position model. The record is from RNAcentral.